AAUCGGUGUACGAUACCGGGGACUUGUCCCCACCAUUGAGCCGAGGGGAACGAGCCCCAGUAACAGCAUCCGAAAGGGUGGAAAACUGAAAAAGCAAACGGAGGGUGGAGUUUGGUAGGUUUCCUUAUUGGAUUCUCGAAGAAGUCAGGCCCG
RNAcentral lists this non-coding RNA (153 nucleotides) under unclassified sequences. Its description in RNAcentral is "RT-3 RNA". It matches the Rfam family "RT-3 RNA". The record is from Rfam by way of RNAcentral.